GUUACAAUUAACAAGAANAGAAUCCCUAUUAGGGAUUGAAAC
This 42-nucleotide non-coding RNA is filed under the name Limnoraphis robusta CS-951. Lineage: Bacteria; Bacillati; Cyanobacteriota; Cyanophyceae; Oscillatoriales; Sirenicapillariaceae. The record is from RNAcentral.